AAGGGCACCACAAGAACGCGUGGAGCAUGUGGCUUAAUUUGACUCAACGCGGGAAAUCUUACCGGGUCCGGACACACUGAGGAUUGACAGGCAAUAUUAUAAUUUUUUAAUUGAAAUAAAUUUUUAUUAAUUUAUUUUUUUUAUUUUUUAUAUGUUAAAUAUGCUAGUCCUUUCAUGAUUAUGUGAUAGGUGGUGCAUGGCCGUUCUUAGUUCGUGGAGUGAUCUGUCUGCUUAAUUGCGUUUCACUAUUGGGCUUAUAUAAUUACGUAUGUUGUUAACGCUUUGACCCCUUUCUACGGAUUGUGCGUGUCUUUGUCUCGUUUAACUCAUACAAUUAAGCCCUGAAAGCAACGAACGUGACCGCAACCUCUUGUUGCUCUCAUAUUACCUUAUACUGCAUAAUAUUUGAAUAAUUUAUUUUAUUUUUUUUUAUGUUUAAGAGAGCUUUCUAAACUAGAGGGACCGCUGUUACUUUCUUAAACCAGAGGAAGGUUGCGGCAAUAACAGGUCUGUGAUGCCCUUAGAUGUUCCGGGCUGCACACGUGCUACAAUGAUUAUUGCAGUGAGCAUCUCAUUUUUUACACAUCGCAUGCGCGAGUCCAUUUAUUCAGAUAUCUUUCAUUUACUUUCGGGUGAAUGUAGUGUUUGCUUUAAAUGUGUAUCUCUGCGCGCGAUAAAGCCUGCUUCGAAAGUAAGUGGGUAAUCAAUUAGAAGUAAUGAUUUCCUUUUUUUUUCUGCACACAUAUAUAUGGCACUUAUACCCGGGUAACCUUGUUGUUACUUUUGUGCGUAUACGUGAUAAUCUUUACCGAUUAUACUACCAUAUGUGCAAUUGUCAAUUCAUGGUGGGGACAGACCAUUGUUAAUUGUUGGUCUCGGUCUUAACUAGGAAUGCCUUGUACGGAUCUUUGGUUCAACAAACCAUCCGGAAUACGUCCCUGCCCUUUGUACACACCGCCCGUC
This 963-nucleotide ribosomal RNA is filed under the name Cassidulinoides sp. RNAcentral describes it as "partial small subunit ribosomal RNA". It matches the Rfam family "Eukaryotic small subunit ribosomal RNA", at positions 1160 to 1677 of the family's 1831-position model. Lineage: Eukaryota; Foraminifera; Rotaliida; Cassidulinidae. The record is from RNAcentral.